RNAcentral lists this ribosomal RNA (497 nucleotides) under uncultured bacterium. RNAcentral describes it as "partial 16S ribosomal RNA". It matches the Rfam family "Bacterial small subunit ribosomal RNA", at positions 28 to 507 of the family's 1533-position model. The record is from RNAcentral.
GAUGAACGCUGGCGGCGUGCCUAAUACAUGCAAGUCGAGCGAACAGACGAGGAGCUUGCUCCUCUGACGUUAGCGGCGGACGGGUGAGUAACACGUGGAUAACCUACCUAUAAGACUGGGAUAACUUCGGGAAACCGGAGCUAAUACCGGAUAGCAUGUUGAACCGCAUGGUUCAACAGUGAAAGACGGUCUUGCUGUCACUUAUAGAUGGAUCCGCGCCGCAUUAGCUAGUUGGUAAGGUAACGGCUUACCAAGGCAACGAUGCGUAGCCGACCUGAGAGGGUGAUCGGCCACACUGGAACUGAGACACGGUCCAGACUCCCACGGGAGGCAGCAGUAGGGAAUCUUCCGCAAUGGGUGAAAGCCUGACGGAGCAACGCCGCGUGAGUGAAGAAGGUCUUCGGAUCGUAAAACUCUGUUAUUAGGGAAGAACAAAUGUGUAAGUAACUAUGCACGUCUUGACGGUACCUAAUCAGAAAGCCACGGCUAACUACGUG